This is a long non-coding RNA of Amphimedon queenslandica, 130 nucleotides long. RefSeq lists it as uncharacterized. The transcript is spliced from 3 exons. NCBI's taxonomy places the organism in Eukaryota, Metazoa, Porifera, Demospongiae, Haplosclerida, Niphatidae. The record is from RefSeq and is a predicted model, not a curated record.
GAUUCAUUAUUUUACUAUCAAUUGAAGAUGUUUCUAUGACAACAGAGAGUACUGUUGAAAUACUUGAUAGUGUACAAGAAUGGCCACCACAAGUAGUAGCUAAUCAAUCAAAUAAUAUUGUCCAGUCAUU